This 1245-nucleotide long non-coding RNA is filed under the name Oryctolagus cuniculus (rabbit). Its description in RNAcentral is "lncRNA (ENSOCUG00000034557.1)". Lineage: Eukaryota; Metazoa; Chordata; Mammalia; Lagomorpha; Leporidae. The record is from RNAcentral.
CUGAAGACAGAGCAAAGAUCAAGGUUGGGACAGGUUUCAACUGUCCUGUCAUUCUGCUGUCCUUGAGGGAGAAGAGACGACAGACAAAUAAGCAAAUAAAUAUUACACAACAGGAUUGCAGAUAAUAAUAAGGCUAGAAAAGAAUGUUGAGGUGGUAGGUAGUAGAGGAGGGCUGCUGUGGCACGUCACAGUAGGUCAUCAGGUGCCAUCUCCAAAGAGGUGACCUUUGGGUGAACCUGAGGAUGAGAAGAAUGAGGUUGUAUAAAGAACUAAGGGGACAGUUUUCCCACAGAGAGGGAAAUGCAAAAGCUCCAGACUGGACAGAGCACAGCCUGCUAAAGGGACAGACAAGGAGACCACUGUGGUGAGGCUGGGGAGUGAUGAGGCCAAGGGCUGGCUGGGAGGCGGCCAACUGUGUUGGUGAGGGGACAGGCAUGGCUCUUGGGUUCCAGUCUCUCUUCUUCUGAUCACAGCACUCCGAGUUUUCAUCAGAGCUUCUCCUCUGCAUUCUGUGUGGCCUGGGUAUGACUGCAGAACAGUACCCUCUCUGAGGUCUGGCCAGUGAGAAUUCUGCCUUUCUCCAUGCCCGGGUUGGGUGGGUGGGUGAACGGAUGACCCAAGCUGGGCCAACAAGGUGAACAAUGACAACAAAAGAGCACCAGGCCUAAAACUAGAAGGGUGCCUCAAAAAAUUAAUGCAGGAUAUAAUUAAAAUAUUUUGAACUAAACUUUUGGAAUAAAAAUUUUGAAAUGCAUGCAUAGUUUUUCCAUCAUAUGUAUUCUCCACAAAAUUUUGGAAUAAUCCUUGUAUUGCUAGAACUGUUAGAGACUUGUAUUUUCUGCUGAGAUUGCUGACAGCUCUCUGAACACUGCAUAGGGACGUCUGCGUGAGAAUGAAGCCAACAUAUGCGACAGAACAAAGAGGUGGAACAAGACCACUGGGCUCAGGGCAUAUGUAUCUGUACCUGAAGGACCUGAGCUUCCUCAUUGAUAAAAGAGGAGGUUGGAUUAGACAUCUCGGAGUGUGCAUCAGCAUGGGGAGUCUUCAGGACGGAAUGCAGCCAGCCCCAUCUUCAAGGAUUGGUAUUGAUAAUAGAUUUCAAUCCAGGAGGAACAGGAUGGCAAUAAAGACAGAAACACAUAGACCAAGUGAUAUUUCUUUUUUUUACACCUGGUUCAAAGAUUUUAUUUUUUUAAUUUUUAUUUUUUAAAUUUUUAUUCAAUAAAUAUAAAUUUCCAAAGUACA